This 63-nucleotide transfer RNA is filed under the name Tylos sp. clade D MM-2013. RNAcentral's name for it is "tRNA-Pro". The record is from RNAcentral. Lineage: Eukaryota; Metazoa; Arthropoda; Malacostraca; Isopoda; Tylidae.
CAAGAGAUAGUUUAUAUAAAAUAUUAAUUUUGGAUAUUAAAGAAGUAAGUCUUUCUCCCUUGA